RNAcentral lists this small nucleolar RNA (238 nucleotides) under Henningerozyma blattae CBS 6284. The record is from RNAcentral. Lineage: Eukaryota; Fungi; Ascomycota; Saccharomycetes; Saccharomycetales; Saccharomycetaceae.
AACGCAAAAUUCACAGCCAUUCGUAACACAUACAGUAUUUCAUCGAGGUUGAACCCCUCCGGGGCGUUCUUGACCCAUGACGAUAGAGAUUGUGCUACUGGAUUAUCCAUUUUAGCUUGGACUGGAGAAAAAAGUUAAAGAUCUUGGGUGCAACAGCUCAUGCGUGUUUGUUUACAAACCUAAGGGUAAGCCUUUGUGCCCCCGGAUGGGAGCCGUUGCAAGGAUCGUUAAUACAUUA